GAAUUAUAUACUUGCUGGUUAAUACCAUGGCAACAUACAAUUGUAAUUUGUCCUAUUGUAUAAAAAAAAAAAAAAAAAAAAAACACUUUUCAUCCGAUUUUUUUCUUCAAAUUGUAUUACAUUCCGAAGCGUACACACAGUCUUAUAAUGUUUGGUGUUAUUGUUUGAAACCGGAAAGGAACAGGUGACGUUUUAUAUAUAAUUACUGGAACACUUUUAGGAAUGUUUGGUCCUCAAUGCUCUUCAACUUCGUACUUUAUUUUAUCUUUUUAUUUUUUUUUAUUUAGCGUCAAGAAAUCUUUUGCGCGCGCGUCUGGCGUAAAUAUAAAAUUUCGAUCCUGGUAUCUGAUUAUUUUUUAUCUGUUAUUCCUAAGCCACUAUGUCGCCGAUUAAUUGUUAGUUUCCUGCUCAAAUUAAAUUUUCAGUGGAUACAGCUUGAAAACUAGCACGGUUGCCCACGAAUUAUGUGCACCAAUGGAUUCGAUGUUCGUUUGAGAAUCGCAUAUCGAUUUAUUAUUAAUCUGUAGACCAACGAAUUAUAGAAACUUAAUAAAAUGAAAAUGUAUGCCAC
This 571-nucleotide long non-coding RNA is filed under the name Mytilus galloprovincialis (Mediterranean mussel). The record is from RNAcentral. Lineage: Eukaryota; Metazoa; Mollusca; Bivalvia; Mytilida; Mytilidae.